AAGUCGUAACAAGGUUUCCGUAGGUGAACCUGCGGAAGGAUCAUUAACGAAUAUCUAUGGCGUUGGUUGUAGCUGGCUCUUAGGAACACUUGUGCACGCCCGUCAUUCAUAUCAUCUUUCCACCUGUGAACUAUGUGUAGGCCUGGAUACCCCUCGCUUUGGUGACAAAGCGGAUGCAAGGACUGCUGUGCUGACAAGGCCGGCUCUCUUUGAAUUUCCAGGUCCUAUGUCUUUUACACACCCCAUUCGAAUGAUGUAGAAUGUAGUCAAUGGGCUCUUAUGCCUAUAAAACACUAUACAACUUUCAGCAACGGAUCUCUUGGCUCUCGCAUCGAUGAAGAACGCAGCGAAAUGCGAUAAGUAAUGUGAAUUGCAGAAUUCAGUGAAUCAUCGAAUCUUUGAACGCACCUUGCGCUCCUUGGUAUUCCGAGGAGCAUGCCUGUUUGAGUGUCAUUAAAUUCUCAACCUCACCAGUUUUGUAAUGAGACGGGUGAAGGCUUGGAUGUGGGGGUUUUUGCAGGCUGCCUCAGCGCUGGUCUGCUCCCCUGAAAUGCAUUAGCGAGCUUAUACUGAGCUUCCGUCUAUUGGUGUGAUAAUUAUCUACGCCGUGGAUUGGACUCAUGCUUGCUUCUAACCGUCCGCAAGGACAAUCUACUUGACCAAUUUGACCUCAAAUCAGGUAGGACUACCCGCUGAACUUAAGCAUAUCAAUAAGCGGAGGAAAAGAAACUAACAAGGAUUCCCCUAGUAACUGCGAGUGAAGCGGGAAAAGCUCAAAUUUAAAAUCUGGUGGUCUUUGGCCAUCCGAGUGUAAUCUAGAGAAGUGUUACCCGUG
RNAcentral lists this ribosomal RNA (835 nucleotides) under mycorrhizal basidiomycete of Epipogium roseum. RNAcentral's name for it is "eukaryotic LSU rRNA". The stretch from base 300 to 453 matches the Rfam family "5.8S ribosomal RNA". Lineage: Eukaryota; Fungi; Basidiomycota. The record is from RNAcentral.